GUGUCAGCAGCCGCGGUAAUACGGAGGGUGCGAGCGUUGUCCGGAAUCACUGGGCGUAAAGGGCGCGUAGGUGGCCCGUCAAGCGCGCGGUGAAAGCCCGGGGCUCAACCCCGGGUCGGCCGUGCGGACUGGCGGGCUCGAGCACUGUAGGGGCGGGUGGAAUUCCGGGUGUAGCGGUGGAAUGCGUAGAGAUCCGGAAGAACACCGGUGGCGAAGGCGGCCCGCUGGGCAGGAAGGGGUGGGUAACCAUCCCGGCUGACACUGAGGCGCGACAGCGUGGGGAGCAAACAGGAUUAGAUACCCCGGUAGUCC
RNAcentral lists this ribosomal RNA (312 nucleotides) under uncultured bacterium. RNAcentral's name for it is "bacterial SSU rRNA". It matches the Rfam family "Bacterial small subunit ribosomal RNA", at positions 505 to 796 of the family's 1533-position model. The record is from RNAcentral.